Molecule: long non-coding RNA, 164 nt
Organism: Hibiscus syriacus
Lineage: Eukaryota; Viridiplantae; Streptophyta; Magnoliopsida; Malvales; Malvaceae
Exons: 3
Source: RefSeq, a predicted model, not a curated record
AAGAGGACUUGAAAUCAAUGCUUUUCACCAUUAUGCUGAUUCUUUCAGCAGCUUAAAACUGGGAAUGUACUUAGGAUCAUCCCACUGCAUAUUUUGAUCCAAUGGCUCUGGACUAGCUGCAAAAGAGUAGAAUUUCCUUGACAACAUAUGUUUUGGAGGAGAUG